This 72-nucleotide transfer RNA is filed under the name Pteraster tesselatus. RNAcentral's name for it is "tRNA-Gln". It matches the Rfam family "tRNA". Rfam says of the family: Transfer RNA (tRNA) molecules are approximately 80 nucleotides in length. Their secondary structure includes four short double-helical elements and three loops (D, anti-codon, and T loops). The record is from RNAcentral. Lineage: Eukaryota; Metazoa; Echinodermata; Asteroidea; Velatida; Pterasteridae.
UAGAAAGUAGUCUAAUUGGUAAAACGAAGAAUUUUGAUUUCUUAUUUAUAAGUUCAAACCUUAUCUUUCUAA